This 334-nucleotide ribosomal RNA is filed under the name uncultured eukaryote. Its description in RNAcentral is "bacterial SSU rRNA". It matches the Rfam family "Eukaryotic small subunit ribosomal RNA", at positions 592 to 924 of the family's 1831-position model. The record is from RNAcentral.
CAAUAGCGUAUAUUAAAGUUGUUGCGGUUAAAAAGCUCGUAGUUGGAUUUCUGGGCUGGCCGGACGGUCCACCUCACGGUGAGAACUGGCUGGUCGGCCCUUCCUCUCGAAGUGUUGCGGUGUUCUUAACUGAGUGCUGUGGCAAUUCGGGACCUUUACUUUGAAAAAAUUAGAGUGUUCAAAGCAGGCCUUCGCUUGAAUACAUUAGCAUGGAAUAAUGGAAUAGGACUUUGGUUCUAUUUUGUUGGUUUCUAGGACCGAAGUAAUGAUUAAUAGGACGAGUUGGGGGCGAUUAGUAUUUAAUUAGUUUUUUCAGAGGUGGAAAUUACUUUGG